Molecule: long non-coding RNA, 706 nt
Organism: Helicoverpa zea (corn earworm)
Lineage: Eukaryota; Metazoa; Arthropoda; Insecta; Lepidoptera; Noctuidae
Exons: 3
Source: RefSeq, a predicted model, not a curated record
AUGUUCUAUAAACCUACUCUAAUUCGAAAUGAUACGAACGAAUAUUUGAGUUUGACAGACGAAACUUCGGAAUUUUAACCUCAAAUUCAACGAAACCAAAAGAGUUAUCGUUUGAUUUUCGUGUUACUUUUCGUUUUGUGAAUUUUGUGUGAAAAUUAUUGGCAAAGGCUAUUAAAAUGCUUUUAAUUAAAGCAGCUUUACGUGAAGAUCGUGUAGAGCGAAGAAGGAACCGGCAGUGCUUGCGCAAUCAAUUAAAUAUUAGCGAAAUUCCCGACGUAGAGUUUGUAGGAAAUCACAGACUCAGUCGGCAAUUUUUUUAUUACCUCCAAACAAUGCAUAUUUCAAUUGCUAUACCUUCUGGAGCAAGAGCAACAAUAUUUUAAUCGAAAAUAUUUUCAUUCUCUUAACACCCACGUUAUAUGUGACAGUGAUUACUAUAUAACAAAUGUGGAUGUGUCAUUUGGUGGAGCAACACACAUGAUGCUUAUAUUUGGAGAGAUUAGAAGCCACUUGGAAGGUCUCCAGAAUGAAACAGUUUAUCUGUUAGGUGACUCUGGGUAUGCUCUAAGGGGCAUAUGAUGAUACCUAUACAUAAAGCUGUUGAAGAUUCUCUUGAAGGCAGAUACAACUUUGCAGAGCUUUGUUAGUGCAAAUUUUAGAAAGGAAUAGGUAGAACAAAGUUCUACUCAAGCACAUCAUAACAUGC